This 465-nucleotide ribosomal RNA is filed under the name Vreelandella stevensii. RNAcentral describes it as "partial 16S ribosomal RNA". It matches the Rfam family "Bacterial small subunit ribosomal RNA", at positions 338 to 795 of the family's 1533-position model. The record is from RNAcentral. Lineage: Bacteria; Pseudomonadati; Pseudomonadota; Gammaproteobacteria; Oceanospirillales; Halomonadaceae.
CCUACGGGAGGCUGCAGUGGGGAAUAUUGGACAAUGGGCGAAAGCCUGAUCCAGCCAUGCCGCGUGUGUGAAGAAGGCCUUCGGGUUGUAAAGCACUUUCAGUGGGGAAGAAAGCCUUGGGGCUAAUACCCUCGAGGAAGGACAUCACCCACAGAAGAAGCACCGGCUAACUCCGUGCCAGCAGCCGCGGUAAUACGGAGGGUGCGAGCGUUAAUCGGAAUUACUGGGCGUAAAGCGCGCGUAGGCGGUCUGAUAAGCCGGUUGUGAAAGCCCCGGGCUCAACCUGGGAACGGCAUCCGGAACUGUCAGGCUAGAGUGCAGGAGAGGAAGGUAGAAUUCCCGGUGUAGCGGUGAAAUGCGUAGAGAUCGGGAGGAAUACCAGUGGCGAAGGCGGCCUUCUGGACUGAAACUGACGCUGAGGUGCGAAAGCGUGGGUAGCAAACAGGAUUAGAUACCCUGGUAGUC